Molecule: unclassified non-coding RNA, 238 nt
Filed under: Hevea brasiliensis (rubber tree)
Lineage: Eukaryota; Viridiplantae; Streptophyta; Magnoliopsida; Malpighiales; Euphorbiaceae
Source: RNAcentral
AGGAGGCUUACUAAGCACCAGCAAUCUUUGAAGACGGAACGUGAGAAGAAGAGAGAAAUGUACUUCCCCAUGAGAAAGUAUGCUAUUAAGGUGUAGGGUGGUAUCUUCAGGAUAGGCUGCAUUUAUAUUUUGCAAUCAUAAACCAAUUUUGUUGACAAGUUUUGAUUUGGAUUAUCUUUUUGUUAAGAGUAAGAUGGCACCCUUCCAAGUCGCGAACAUAAUCAUAAUCAUAACAAAA